RNAcentral lists this ribosomal RNA (460 nucleotides) under uncultured bacterium. Its description in RNAcentral is "bacterial SSU rRNA". It matches the Rfam family "Bacterial small subunit ribosomal RNA", at positions 8 to 463 of the family's 1533-position model. The record is from RNAcentral.
AGAGUUUGAUCCUGGCUCAGAUUGAACGCUGGCGGCAUGCUUUACACAUGCAAGUCGAACGGCAGCACGGGUGCUUGCACCUGGUGGCGAGUGGCGAACGGGUGAGUAAUGCACCGGAGCGUACCCAGUAAUGGGGGAUAACACACCGAAAGAUGUGCUAAUACCGCAUACGCCCUGAGGGGGAAAGCGGGGGAUCGUAAGACCUCGCGUUAGUUAUUGGGAGCGCCGAAUCCGGGAUAAGCUAGUUGGUGAGGUAAGAGCUCACCAAGGCGACGAUCCGUAGCUGGUCUGAGAGGACGACCAGCCACACUGGGACUGAGACACGGCCCAGACUCCUACGGGAGGCAGCAGUGGGGAAUUUUGGACAAUGGGCGCAAGCCUGAUCCAGCCAUGCCGCGUGAGUGAAGAAGGCCUUCGGGUUGUAAAGCUCUUUCGCAAGGAAAGAAAACUUAUCUACUAA